This 21-nucleotide non-coding RNA is filed under the name Caenorhabditis elegans. Lineage: Eukaryota; Metazoa; Nematoda; Chromadorea; Rhabditida; Rhabditidae. The record is from RNAcentral.
UGCAUUAUUGAAUUGAAAACA